RNAcentral lists this ribosomal RNA (569 nucleotides) under uncultured bacterium. RNAcentral's name for it is "partial 16S ribosomal RNA". It matches the Rfam family "Bacterial small subunit ribosomal RNA", at positions 355 to 912 of the family's 1533-position model. The record is from RNAcentral.
UGGGGAAUAUUGCACAAUGGGCGCAAGCCUGAUGCAGCCAUGCCGCGUGUGUGAAGAAGGCCUUCGGGUUGUAAAGCACUUUCAGCGAGGAGGAAGGUGGUGAGCUUAAUACGCUCAUCAAUUGACGUUACUCGCAGAAGAAGCACCGGCUAACUCCGUGCCAGCAGCCGCGGUAAUACGGAGGGUGCAAGCGUUAAUCGGAAUUACUGGGCGUAAAGCGCACGCAGGCGGUUUGUUAAGUCAGAUGUGAAAUCCCCGGGCUCAACCUGGGAACUGCAUUUGAAACUGGCAAGCUAGAGUCUCGUAGAGGGGGGUAGAAUUCCAGGUGUAGUGGUGAAAUGCGUAGAGAUCUGGAGGAAUACCGGUGGCAAAAGGCGGCCCCCCUGGACGAAGACUGACGCUCAGGUGCGAAAGCGUGGGGCAGCAAACAGGAUUAGAUACCCUGGUAGUCCACGCUGUAAACGAUGUCGAUUUUGGAGGUUGUGCCCUUGAGGCGUGGCUUCCGGAGCUAACGCGUUAAAUCGACCGCCUGGGGAGUACGGCCGCAAGGUUAAAACUUAAAGGAAUUG